Molecule: long non-coding RNA, 313 nt
Filed under: Medicago truncatula (barrel medic)
Lineage: Eukaryota; Viridiplantae; Streptophyta; Magnoliopsida; Fabales; Fabaceae
Description: lncRNA gene33180
Source: RNAcentral
GGUUCCAAUUUACAGCACAAAUUUCAACAAUUUCAUACAAUGUCAAAUCUUAACCGUUCACUUCAGAUCAGACGGUAUAGAACAGCUACGGCGUGCAACUGCGUGUAAAUAUUACAGCAGGAAAUCCCAUCCCGUAGUGGUACUUUGGUGGUAGGUGUGUAUGAUGAUGUCUAUCUGAAAAAAAUCACAUAAUUUCGUGAGGCCUAUGGUGGAGUUUUUUUUUCUUUUCUUUUCGCAAUUUGUUGAUUAUACCUUAAUCUUUGGUGAGAAUUUUGAACAAACGUUAGAACUAGGCGUUUAUGAUCCCUUUUAG